GAAAAAGGCAGCGUCGGAUCGGGUAAGAAGUCUUGGGGCUGCCAGCAUUUCUCUACUGGUUUGAGUAAUGGUAACACGUUAUUGGUGGCCCAGGUUUCUAGUGACUUGAAGACUUCGACUUUUUCGGGUGGCAUUGAAUGUGUUUUUGGUUUCGGUGGUGCUGCGACGGCGGAGAUUUGCCGGAAUCGGACGGUGGAGGAUGCGGCGGUGAGACGAUGGUGGGCGGGAUUAGGGACAAGUGGAGAGCACGCAGCAGGACGUUUGGUGGAAGUGACGAGAAACUGAGAUGCUUGCAUGGUGGUGGCACUUAGCACAGGGAGUGUGCGUCUUUCUCUUGAACUGAUUUU
Molecule: long non-coding RNA, 347 nt
Filed under: Citrus sinensis (sweet orange)
Lineage: Eukaryota; Viridiplantae; Streptophyta; Magnoliopsida; Sapindales; Rutaceae
Description: long non-coding RNA (CSIN_LNC001476)
Source: RNAcentral